GACAAAGGCAGCUCUGUGUCGCUGCUCCAGCCAGCGCUGUAAAGCAUGAGCCUGCAUCACACCUCCAGCCACGCACCGAGCACAGAGACACUCCAGGACUGAGGCACUACUGCUAAUGCACCAAAUGGAGGGCAGAGAGAAUGCCAUGCGGCUUUGAAUUUACCCUACCUAGAUUUUAAGGGUUUUGUUCCACAAUGACAGGCCUGUGGAUCAUCCCGAGAGUCCAGAUCCUGCUGUCCUGCUGCAGAAUCCUUCGCUCCUGGCUGACCACAGGGAGGUGGGCAAAGCUUUGCCUUCAGGGGGUGUGUGUGUGCCUCAGCAACGGAUAAUGAGCUGACAUUAGCCACAGAAGGGCUCGUCCAGCUCCUUUCUACCCCGAGGAUGCUUGUGCCAAGCGCAGCUUUCAUAUGGAAAGUGGUGCAUUGUUUAAAUGUAAAUGUUUCAAGAACAGCGAUUUGUGAGACAGGAAAAAUAAAAUCUCACCUGAGUUGAGUGGCACGGUCUGCUCACAGAGGUCCUUUUUUGCGUCACAGAUCUUGUUGUAGGACACUCUGCUCCCUCCAUCUCUUGGGUAGCUGUGGGAUUUAUUACACAGUUAAUUUAUCUAUAAAUAUAUACUCAUAAAUUUAUACUUGCCUGGUAAUCUCAUUUCUGUGCUGUUCCAUCUCUCCUGGCAAUCCCAUCUUCCCAGGAGGGGAGGAACCAGUGCCUCAACCAUGCCAGGAGCUUAAAUGGGCUCCUGGGCCCAUGGAGGGAAGUGGUGUGUGUGUUUGUGUGUAUGGUCCCAGAUGGAGCUGGU
This is a long non-coding RNA of Corapipo altera (White-ruffed manakin), 799 nucleotides long. RefSeq lists it as uncharacterized. The record is from RefSeq and is a predicted model, not a curated record. The transcript has 3 exons. NCBI's taxonomy places the organism in Eukaryota, Metazoa, Chordata, Aves, Passeriformes, Pipridae.